This 3183-nucleotide ribosomal RNA is filed under the name Oocystis sp. KMMCC 251. Its description in RNAcentral is "eukaryotic LSU rRNA". The stretch from base 1 to 2160 matches the Rfam family "Eukaryotic small subunit ribosomal RNA". Lineage: Eukaryota; Viridiplantae; Chlorophyta; Trebouxiophyceae; Chlorellales; Oocystaceae. The record is from RNAcentral.
GGCUCAUUAAAUCAGUUAUAGUUUAUUUGAUGGUACCUUACUACUCGGAUAACCGUAGUAAAUCUAGAGCUAAUACGUGCGUAAAUCCCGACUUCUGGAAGGGACGUAUUUAUUAGAUAAAAGACCGACCGGCUUCGGCCGACCCUCGGUGAAUCAUGAUAACUUCACGAAUCGCACGGCCUUGUGCCGGCGAUGUUUCAUUCAAAUUUCUGCCCUAUCAACUUUCGAUGGUAGGAUAGAGGCCUACCAUGGUGGUAACGGGUGACGGAGAAUUAGGGUUCGAUUCCGGAGAGGGAGCCUGAGAAACGGCCACCACAUCCAAGGAAGGCAGCAGGCGCGCAAAUUACCCAAUCCCGACACGGGGAGGUAGUGACAAGAAAUAACAAUACCGGGCUCUUUCGAGUCUGGUAAUUGGAAUGAGAACAAUCUAAACCCCUUAUCGAGGAUCCAUUGGAGGGCAAGUCUGGUGAACGAUUCAACAAAAGAAAAAAAUGCUGUUGACGCCAGAGAUAGUAGGGCACCUUUUCGGUGUUAUGCCUGCUAGUCGAUGCAGCCGCUUAUUUGAUCGGGCUGGCUGCCGGCGAGAUGACCUGGAACGGGGAAGGCCUUCACCCUCCACCCAAUGGAGGACUGGUUGAUCCCGUGGCGAGCCUGUAAAGAGCGAUCUUUACGAGGCCGUCGUAACGCACGGUAAGGCAUCGGCUCACCUCAAGAUUAUGAGUGGGCUUAAGGGACGUGCUAAACCCAUCCGAUGAUAAAGGAUGCUCUGACCAUUAGCUCCCGAUCAGCAAAGGGUCAAGGGGGACGAAAGUGUUUGGAGGAAAUGCCAAACACUGUCCGGUAUCUUGCGACCUGAAAAUGUACUUCAGCAAGCAAGAACAUUGGCCAGCAGCCGCGGUAAUUCCAGCUCCAAUAGCGUAUAUUUAAGUUGCUGCAGUUAAAAAGCUCGUAAGGAGAGCCUGAGGGAGAAUCCGGCGACAGUCGGGGAGAGCCNUCAGGGAGUGAAUUAAUAGUCGGUGCAGCAAUGUACUCGACGGCCAGUGUGCNUCUCACUCGGACCAACCGGGAGCCUGUGGCUUAAUUUGACUCAACACGGGAAAACUUACCAGGUCCAGACAUAGUGAGGAUUGACAGAUUGAGAGCUCUUUCUUGAUUCUAUGGGUUAAAUACCACUAGCCCAUGAGAGCGGUGCGAAAGCACGCAGCUAGUUUCGGCUCGGCCGCUUUUGCGAGGCCGAGUGGGAAGCGAGACCGUCGAAUUGCGGGAAAGUCCUUAGAGCCCAAACUACCAAGCUGUCAGCCGAAAGGCGCAGUGGCCAGGUUAACAACCUCGGGUAUGGUAAAAAUGUUUGGGAUUGGAUAAUCCGCAGCCAAGCUCCUAAGGGCCAAAAGCCUAUGGAGAAGGUUCAGAGACUAAGUGGCGGUCGGUCCCUAAGUUCUUGUUACAUGCGAAUAUCUAUUGUCAUCAUCAGAAUCAGACAUUGUAAACGCUCGAGGGUAACAAGAAUGAAAGUGGCUUAAGAUAUAGUCCGGCUCUGUCGAGAGACAGCCUCAGGACGAAAGCUCACAGCAUGAGCAGGAGCCUGAGGGGGAGACACGAGACCCGUGUUUCCUAGAGUACCCGGGUGGUGCAUGGCCGUUCUUAGUUGGUGGGUUGCCUUGUCAGGUUGAUUCCGGUAACGAACGAGACCUCCGCCUGCUAAAUAGUCCAACCCGGUUUUCCGGGUUGCAGACUUCUUAGAGGGACUAUCUGCGUCUAGCAGAUGGAAGCAGGAGGCAAUAACAGGUCUGUGAUGCCCUUAGAUGUUCUGGGCCGCACACGCGCUACACUGACGCGAUCAACAAGCCUAGCCUUGGCCGAGAGGUCCGGGUAAUCUUGUAAUCCGCGUCGUGAUGGGGAUAGAUUAUUGCAAUUAUUAAUCUUCAACGAGGAAUGCCUAGUACGCGCAGUUCAUCAGACUGCGCGGAUUACGUCCCUGCCCUUUGUACACACCGCCCGUCGCUCCUACCGAUUGGGUGUGCUGGUGAAGUGUUCGGAUCGGUGCGUUGUGGCGGUUUCCGCUGCGGCGCGCUGAGAAGUUCUCUAAACCCUCCCACCUAGAGGAAGGAGAAGUCGUAACAAGGUCUCCGUAGAAGUGUUUAUACACCGUGCGGAUAAAAGCGGGCCUGAAAAGGGUUUUCCGCUAGUGGGGCUGCUGCGGCAGACUCGCAACACCGUCAAAUUGCUCGGAAAUCCUGCUAUGUCAACAGUACCGCCUCUGGUUUGGAAACAUGCCAGAGGCACCGGGGGGAAACUCGCGGGUAUGGUGAUAAUCUGUUGAAUAGGGACGAUGAGCAGCCAAGCCCUACGGUAGCGUCAGGCUACUAUGGGUGCAGUUCACAGACUAAAUGUCGGUGGGUCUCUUUUCGAGGCUUAAGAUAUAGUCGGCCCGCGCCGAGAGGCGAGCCCUUAAGAGGAUCCCGGGGAUUUUAAACAACCUGGGGGAGAGCUGAAGGGGGCUGGGAGUAAUAGUCGCAAGACGGCACGCUUUUUCCUAGAGCGGGCCUCCCAGUCGGAUUCGCGAGGUGAACCUGCGGAGGGAUCAUUGAAUCACAUCGUAUCCACUNUGGUAACCACUCUGUACCCCCUUCACGGACCCUCCACGGAGGGCCGAGCUGCGCGGGGCUCAAGGUNUUUUUUGCCCUUGGGUGUCGCGGGUUGGGUCGUCCUCUUUUUGGGGGCGGCUCGGCCGGGCCUUUUUUUUUUACAACUUUUUCACUCCAAACUUAAACAAAUCUAAAGCCAAAGCGCGUGGCUCUGCCGCCGCUGUCUAACCAAAGACAACUCUCAACAACGGAUAUCUUGGCUCCUGUAUCGAUGAAGAACGCAGCGAACUGCGAUAAGUAGUGUGAAUUGCAGAAUUCCGUGAACCAUCGAAUCUUUGAACGCAGAUUGCGCCCAACACUCCGGUGGAGGGCAUGUCUGGCUCAGAGUCGGUAUACCCCCAUCGCUGCCUAACCGCAGCUGGAUCUGGCAGUCCCGCCGCCAAGGCGGGUCUGCUGAAGCACAGAUGUGCGCCUCGACGGUUCCUGAACCUCGACAACUAGGUAGGCAGCCCGCUGCAUACCGUUGUUGCCAGGGACCUCGAAACAUGCGUGCAGUACACCAACUCUUACUUUCGACCUGAGCUCAGGCAAGGUACCC